Molecule: ribosomal RNA, 426 nt
Filed under: uncultured Methanothermobacter sp.
Lineage: Archaea; Methanobacteriati; Methanobacteriota; Methanobacteria; Methanobacteriales; Methanobacteriaceae
Description: bacterial SSU rRNA
Rfam family: Archaeal small subunit ribosomal RNA
Source: RNAcentral
CCUAUGGGGGGCAGCAGGCGCGAAACCUCCGCAAUGCACGCAAGUGCGACGGGGGAACCCCAAGUGCCACUCUUAACGGGGUGGCUUUUCAGAAGUGUAAAAAGCUUCUGGAAUAAGGGCUGGGCAAGACCGGUGCCAGCCGCCGCGGUAACACCGGCAGCUCAAGUGGUAGCCGCUUUUAUUGGGCCUAAAGCGUCCGUAGCCGGUCUGAUAAGUCUCUGGUGAAAUCCCACAGCUUAACUGUGGGAAUUGCUGGAGAUACUAUCAUGACUCGAGGUCGGGAGAGGCUGGAGGUACUCCCAGGGUAGGGGUGAAAUCCUGUAAUCCUGGGAGGACCACCUGUGGCGAAGGCGUCCAGCUGGAACGAACCUGACGGUGAGGGACGAAAGCCAGGGGCGCGAACCGGAUUAGAUACCCCCGUAGUCC